Molecule: long non-coding RNA, 708 nt
Organism: Lagenorhynchus albirostris (white-beaked dolphin)
Lineage: Eukaryota; Metazoa; Chordata; Mammalia; Artiodactyla; Delphinidae
Exons: 3
Source: RefSeq, a predicted model, not a curated record
CAGGCAGCUGAAGCGGAAGCCCCUCGUUGCACAGAAGUGGAGACUGAGGCCCGGGUCUUCGGAGACGGCCAGCGAUCUGUCCCAGAGCGCUUUUGAGCCAGGGAUCUUGGGGGUGCGGGCUUCUCUGCAGUUCCUCCUGAGCAUCUUCUAAGUAGAGCACACGUUCCCUAAGAUGGAGGGGCCACGCCCAAGCCUGGAAAACAGACAAGGCUUAACCUGCCUGAGUGGCAGCUUCCUCAUCCGUAAGGCAGAAUUGAAACAAUUCAUGGUCCCCUAAAGGACUGUGGCCUCAGGCACUGUGUCGCUGUAUCUGAGGAAGGGGAGCUGUCCUGGCAGCCUCAUCCCAUUGGAAGCUGACUUGAACCCAGGUCUUGAAUCCAGGUCUUCUGCACCCCCAACCUCUUCUGCCCACUGCCUGCCACUUGGGGAAGGACCUGGUGGAUUUUUGCUGCUUUUUGGCAUUUCUUACUAGCCAUCCGAUGGCUUUGAAUGUCUUGUUUCUGAGUGCUUAUAACAACAAUGAUAAUUAAUAAUAAUAAUAGGGUGGGAUGAAUUGGGAGAUGGGGAUUGACAUAUAUACACUACUAUAUAUAUAUAACAUAGAUAACUAAUGAGAACCUACUGUAUAGCGCACAGAACUCUACUCAAUGCUCUCUGGUGACCUAAAUGGUAAGGAAAUCCAAAAAAGACUGGAUAUAUGUAUAUGUA